UGGUUGGCCUGGGACUGAGUUCCUAGAAGCUCCUGGCUUGCUCAGUCCCAGUUCUAGAUGUU
This 62-nucleotide microRNA precursor is filed under the name Ochotona princeps (American pika). Its description in RNAcentral is "miRNA (ENSOPRG00000023661.1)". The record is from RNAcentral. Lineage: Eukaryota; Metazoa; Chordata; Mammalia; Lagomorpha; Ochotonidae.